This 537-nucleotide long non-coding RNA is filed under the name Piliocolobus tephrosceles (Ugandan red Colobus). Its description in RNAcentral is "lncRNA (ENSPTEG00000006852.1)". The record is from RNAcentral. Lineage: Eukaryota; Metazoa; Chordata; Mammalia; Primates; Cercopithecidae.
AUACAUAUAUAUACAACCUAUUAUUCUCUUUCUGGGAUAACUAAAAAUAUGAAAACUUUUCAUACGAACUAAUUUAUUUUUAGAUUCAUUGGAUGCGCCACAUACAUUGCCAGUUGUUCAAAUGAUGUGUGAAGGAAAAGAAAAUUGUGAUAUAAGUGUAAACAAUGAGACAUUCAAAAUUCUUUCUUUGAUAACAAAAUUUAAUAAACUUAUAAUAAAGUAUUCCUGUGUACCUUCUAAGCCAAGUUCCUUUCCGUCAUAUAACAUAAAAGCCAAAACAGGGAACGAUCAUAUUUGGGAUGUUCAAGUUGAAGGGAACACAUUAAAAAAAGAGUUGUAUCUUCAUGUGAAUGAUAUGUAAAUUAAAAAUUGAUUUAAACAUUUUGACAGUGUUGCGUGCGUAUAUAUACAUAUAUAUAUUUGCUGUUGUUUUUUUUUGUAUCAUUUCUAAACAUACAUACCUUAUUUGAUCAUAUUGCUAUUUAAUAGAAUUGCAACAUGUGAGAGCCCACUUCUUAUAAGAAAAUAUGUAGAUAU